RNAcentral lists this transfer RNA (78 nucleotides) under Pyrococcus sp. NA2. RNAcentral describes it as "tRNA-Trp (CCA) (tRNA-Trp-CCA-1-1)". It matches the Rfam family "tRNA". Rfam says of the family: Transfer RNA (tRNA) molecules are approximately 80 nucleotides in length. Their secondary structure includes four short double-helical elements and three loops (D, anti-codon, and T loops). The record is from RNAcentral. Lineage: Archaea; Methanobacteriati; Methanobacteriota; Thermococci; Thermococcales; Thermococcaceae.
GGGGGCGUGGUGUAGCCUGGCCUAUCAUCGCGGGCUCCAGACCCGCGGACCGGGGUUCAAAUCCCCGCGCCCCCACCA